Long non-coding RNA from Hyla sarda, 745 nucleotides. RefSeq lists it as uncharacterized. The record is from RefSeq and is a predicted model, not a curated record. The transcript has 3 exons. NCBI's taxonomy places the organism in Eukaryota, Metazoa, Chordata, Amphibia, Anura, Hylidae.
GUCAAGUCCUAUGUGUGUGUCUAGAGUCCAGAGGAGGCUUAAAGUCAGUCAAGCAGCCACGGAUUCUCAAGUCCAUUGCCCCACAGGUCAAGUCAAAGCCUGAGAUUGUUUUGGAUCCUCAAGAAAUAACAAAAUGUCAUCUACAUACAUUGUAAUCUUGUCACCAUUGAUGUGAAGAGGGGAGCUUGUAUUACUGCUCAAUAGAUUUUAAGGCACCAGGAAGCUUUUCUCAGAUCAGAAAGCAGUGAGCCUGAUCAGAACGCUGGCAACUGACAUUUAGUGUAUAUUGAUGUUUGUCUGGUCCUCAGCUACGUAUUCUGGAGAAUUUUUGUAAGUGUUUUUCCUUAUAUUGAAAUGUGUUAUAUUGUUUGAUGAUACUGUAAAGCAGAAUGAUUUUUGUUCACUUCUAUGAACUAGUUGCAGAGAGAGGAGGUAGAAAAAACUAUCCCCACUAGGCGCUAUCUAUAGAGCAAAAAAGAAAAGUGAGUAGAAUCCUCUUAGUCCAAUAAAACUUGUUUAUUAAAUAGAGCAAGACGCGUUUCGGGUGUUGUAUCACCCUUCCUCAGUUGCAGAUGUGCAAUAUGGAUAAUAUUAUUGUCUAGUAAAACUUAAAGGGGUACUCUGCUGGAAAACAUCUUAUCCCCUAAUCUUAUCCAAAGGAUAAGGGAUAGUCCUCCCCAAUAAAUACACACACAUUUAAAAAACGUACUUCCUAUGACAAUUGAAAAGGGCCAUUGAGGAUAGA